CACUGACAUUAGAUACCCCGGUAGUCCCAGCCGUAAACUAUGCGCGUUAGGUGUACUGGUGACCACGAGUCACCGGGGUGCCGAAGGGAAACCGUGAAACGUGCCGCCUGGGAAGUACGGUCGCAAGGCUGAAACUUAAAGGAAUCGGCGGGGAGCACCACAACGGGUGGAGCCUGCGGUUUAAUUGGACUCAACGCCGGAAAUCUCACCGGAUAGGACAGACAUAUGAUAGUCGGGCUGAAGACUCUACUUGAUGAUCUG
RNAcentral lists this ribosomal RNA (261 nucleotides) under uncultured archaeon. Its description in RNAcentral is "partial 16S ribosomal RNA". It matches the Rfam family "Archaeal small subunit ribosomal RNA", at positions 721 to 982 of the family's 1478-position model. The record is from RNAcentral.